Molecule: unclassified non-coding RNA, 343 nt
Filed under: soil metagenome
Description: partial contains 5.8S ribosomal RNA, internal transcribed spacer 2, and large subunit ribosomal RNA
Rfam family: 5.8S ribosomal RNA (bases 1-120)
Source: RNAcentral
GAUGAAGAACGUAGCGAAAUGCGAUAAGUAAUGUGAAUUGCAGAAUUCAGUGAAUCAUCGAAUCUUUGAACGCACAUUGCGCCCGCUAGUAUUCUGGCGGGCAUGCCUGUCCGAGCGUCAUUUCAACCCUCAAGCCCCCGGGCUUGGUGUUGGGGAUCGGCGAGCCUCCGCGCCCGCCGUCCCCUAAAUCUAGUGGCGGUCUCGCUGUAGCUUCCUCUGCGUAGUAGCACACCUCGCACUGUGAAACAGCGCGGCCACGCCGUUAAACCCCCAACUUCUGAACGUUUGACCUCGGAUCAGGUAGGAAUACCCGCUGAACUUAAGCAUAUCAAUAAGCGGAGGA